AACGAACGCUGGCGGCAUGCCUAACACAUGCAAGUCGAACGAAGCCUUCGGGCUUAGUGGCGCACGGGUGCGUAACGCGUGGGAAUCUGCCCUUGGGUUCGGAAUAACAGUUAGAAAUGACUGCUAAUACCGGAUGAUGUCUUCGGACCAAAGAUUUAUCGCCCAAGGAUGAGCACGCGUAGGAUUAGGUAGUUGGUGGGGUAAUGGCCCACCAAGCCGACGAUCAUUAGCUGGUCUGAGAGGAUGAUCAGCCACACUGGGACUGAGACACGGCCCAGACUCCUACGGGAGGCAGCAGUGGGGAAUAUUGGACAAUGGGCGAAAGCCUGAUCCAGCAAUGCCGCGUGAGUGAUGAAGGCCUUAGGGUUGUAAAGCUCUUUUACCAGGGAUGAUAAUGACAGUACCUGGAGAAUAAGCUCCGGCUAACUCCGUGCCAGCCGCCGCAGUAA
RNAcentral lists this ribosomal RNA (449 nucleotides) under uncultured bacterium. RNAcentral describes it as "partial 16S ribosomal RNA". It matches the Rfam family "Bacterial small subunit ribosomal RNA", at positions 29 to 523 of the family's 1533-position model. The record is from RNAcentral.